AGAGUUUGAUCAUGGCUCAGAACGAACGUUAGCGGCGCGCUUAACACAUGCAAGUCGAGCGAGAAAGGGGCAACCCCGGUAAAGCGGCGCACGGGUGAGUAACACGUAGAUAAUCUACCCCCAGGUGGUGGAUAACCUUCCGAAAGGAGGGCUAAUACAGCAUGAGACCACGACUCCGAAAGGGGAUGAGGUCAAAGCCGGCCUCUUCAAGAAAGCUGGCGCCAGGGGAUGAGUCUGCGGCCCAUCAGCUAGUUGGUAGGGUAACGGCCUACCAAGGCGAAGACGGGUAGCUGGUCUGAGAGGAUGAUCAGCCACACUGGAACUGAGACACGGUCCAGACUCCUACGGGAGGCAGCAGUGGGGAAUCUUGCGCAAUGGGCGAAAGCCUGACGCAGCGACGCCGCGUGAGUGAUGAAGGCCUUCGGGUUGUAAAGCUCUGUGGAGGGGGACGAAUAAGUCGUGGCCAACAUCCACGAUGAUGACGGUACCCCUUUAGCAAGCACCGGCUAACUCUGUGCCAGCAGCCGCGGUAAGACAGAGGGUGCAAACGUUGUUCGGAAUUACUGGGCGUAAAGCGUGUGUAGGCUGCCCCGCAAGUCGGAUGUGAAAGCCCUGGGCUCAACCUGGGAAGUGCACUCGAAACUGCGGGGCUGGAGUCCUGGAGAGGAAGGCGGAAUUCUCGGUGUAGAGGUGAAAUUCGUAGAUAUCGAGAGGAACACCGGUGGCGAAGGCGGCCUUCUGGACAGUGACUGACGCUGAGACACGAAAGCGUGGGGAGCAAACAGGAUUAGAUACCCUAGUAGUCC
Molecule: ribosomal RNA, 806 nt
Filed under: uncultured bacterium
Lineage: Bacteria
Description: bacterial SSU rRNA
Rfam family: Bacterial small subunit ribosomal RNA
Source: RNAcentral